GUUACGGUGACAUAGGUGGUUAGGGCAUCUGCCUCAGAUGCGGGAGGUCGCGGGUUCAAAUUCCGACCGAAUCAUAACA
Molecule: non-coding RNA, 79 nt
Organism: Potamilus streckersoni
Lineage: Eukaryota; Metazoa; Mollusca; Bivalvia; Unionida; Unionidae
Source: the annotation of a GenBank genome assembly